Long non-coding RNA from Armigeres subalbatus, 440 nucleotides. RefSeq lists it as uncharacterized. The record is from RefSeq and is a predicted model, not a curated record. Lineage: Eukaryota; Metazoa; Arthropoda; Insecta; Diptera; Culicidae. The transcript is spliced from 2 exons.
UAAAAUUCUACUUACUAUUUACAAAAACUAUUACCUACUAUUGCUCUUCUUCAACUAAAAAUGAUCUCGAAAGUAAUGGAUUUAGAAUCAAAUUAAACUACAAAAAAAAACUUAAAAUAAAAAUUGGAAACAUCCCUGUAUCCUUCCCAAUCCCUUUCAAUCACACGCCGAGCAUCGCUUAUGCACGGUCCCUAAAGUGACACAGUUGUUUAUAACUGCCACGGACGCCACGUCAGCCUCCGAAGGCGCGAAAACCCGUACAAAGCAAAGGACGGAAAGAAACGGAGGAUAAAAUACAGUUGUCGGGCCGACGACAGCUCUCUUGGAGGGACAAACAAAGUUCGUUUUGGUGGCCGCAGUAAAAAAACCGCGAGUGCCUACGUGUGCUCUGUGAAACGGGAGCUCGGAAGUGUCAACAGACGCGUGCAGCAGAAGUUUUU